Molecule: ribosomal RNA, 253 nt
Filed under: uncultured bacterium
Lineage: Bacteria
Description: partial 16S ribosomal RNA
Rfam family: Bacterial small subunit ribosomal RNA
Source: RNAcentral
UACGGAGGGUGCAAGCGUUGUCCGGAUUUAUUGGGUUUAAAGGGUGCGUAGGCGGCUUUUUAAGUCAGUGGUGAAAGCCUCCAGCUUAACUGGAGAACAGCCAUUGAUACUGAAGAGCUUGAGUACAGACGAGGUAGGCGGAAUUUAUGGUGUAGCGGUGAAAUGCAUAGAUACCAUAAAGAACUCCUAUUGCGAAGGCAGCUUACUAGGCUGUAACUGACGCUGAGGCACGAAAGCGUGGGGAGCAAACAGG